Molecule: transfer RNA, 74 nt
Filed under: Candidatus Aenigmatarchaeota archaeon
Lineage: Archaea; Nanobdellati; Candidatus Aenigmatarchaeota
Description: tRNA-Asn
Rfam family: tRNA
About the family: Transfer RNA (tRNA) molecules are approximately 80 nucleotides in length. Their secondary structure includes four short double-helical elements and three loops (D, anti-codon, and T loops).
Source: RNAcentral
GCGUCUGUAGCUCAGCAGGUACGAGCAACCGACUGUUGAUCGGGAGGUCCCAAGUUCGAGUCUUGGCAGAUGCG